AUUAUUAGUAAAAUCUGCUCAAUGUAUAAAUCAAUAGCCGCAAAUUCUGUGCUAAGGUAGCAAAAUCAUUUGUCUCUUAAUUAGAGACUAGAAUGAAUGAUUCAACGUUUGAAUUUCUUUUUAACUUUUAAUUUUUUAAAUUUACUUUAAUUAUAAAAAUAUAAUUAUAUAUCAGAAAGACGACAAGACCCUAUUGAACUUAACUUUAGUUAAACUGGGGCAGUUAACUAAUUAACAUUUUAGUAAAAAAUAUUUAAAAUCCUGAUCCUUUAUAAUUGAAUUUCGAUCAAGUUACCAUAGGGAUAACAGCGCAAUUCCUUUUAUAAGCUCUUAUAAAAAAAGGAGAUUACGACCUCGAUGUUGAAUUAAUUAUCUAAUUAACGCAGCCGUUAAAAAAGUAAGUCUGUUCGACUUUUAAUAAAUUACAUGAUUUGAGUUCAGACCGGCGUAAGCCAGGUCGGUUUCUAUCUUCUUCAAAAUUAUCCUAGUACGAAAGGACCUGAUAAACU
Molecule: ribosomal RNA, 509 nt
Filed under: Homalonychus selenopoides
Lineage: Eukaryota; Metazoa; Arthropoda; Arachnida; Araneae; Homalonychidae
Description: partial 16S ribosomal RNA
Rfam family: Bacterial large subunit ribosomal RNA
Source: RNAcentral